UACAUGUUAAUGAAAUUUAAAAGAAUUGUCUAAAGGCCUAGCUUACCAAGCUUACUUGCGUCAGAAGGUAAUGCGUAUACUAACAAUGUGUAUGCUUAGACAGUCCCUGUCCCAUUAGUGUACAAUAUUGCCAUCGUUUACUUUAAAGUUCAGAACCAAAGACAUAAUCACUUUUAUUAAACCAAAUGAAUUUCUCAGCUAGCUUGCACAUAAUCAAAAUAGAAAUUAUGCAAGAAGCAUCGAAAAUGAAAACAAAAAUUGUAUUUGUUUGAAUGCUUCCAAUCAAAUGAUUCUUAAGCGAUAUUAGGGAUUGAAACUGAGGAUGACAAAAUAUUAUAAAGAGCCUUCUUAGAUCUGUAGUAAAGCAAAUGCUAAUUGUAUAUCAAAUCGUUAAGACAGCUAACCUUUUUAGGUGUAGAUACACUCUUGUCAGAUCAUGCUUGAUGUCGGUCUAUGGAGUUAAGUCGGCUGUUUAAAGGAUGAACCAAACCAUCGCGACGGUUCAGAUUUAAGAACCGUAGACAAAACGGCGCCAUGGAAGCCACAGACAGAGCUUUUAAUUGAUGACUUGUCCAACUCUUCAUCACGAAACUCCAUUGUUGCUGUAGGACUUCAAAGAUCGAUGAGGCAGAUGAACCCUAAUUUAAGUUUCGAUUAGAUGAUGAUGUUCUCCUUCCUCGUCCUCUGAUGAUGAGUAGAUGGUUCUCAUUGUAACAAACACAACCUUUUUAUAGUCUCAGUCCCACCGCUUUACAUGAGGGAAGCUCGCAUUCAAGUUAUGUCGUGGGUGAAGGAUUUAAGAAGGAUUUUAAGAGGAUGAAUCUGUAACUGAUAGCUCUUGGGUUUGUUAGAAUGAUGAAAGAACACUACCAGAUUUCAGGUUGUGUCUUCAUCGAGAACGCGGAGAUGAACCUGGUUCUACCCUAAUAUUAAAAUGCUGCGUAAUGCCGCUUUACAUUAAGAGAUAUUCGAGAGGGGCUGGGUCAAUCGUGCAAAUUUAAGGCCCGAUCAGAAGACGAAGCCGAACUGUAUGCAGAGUAACUUAAAUAAAACGAUGCGGAUUGAUUACCUGACACGUGUCACGACCAGAAUACUCGACUUAUUGACAUGGCGCUGACGUGUCUCUCUCAGGAGUGAGACCAACAUUUUUUUUUAUAUAUAUAGAUUUCCUAAUAAUGAAUUUUGUAACACGCUGAUUAGAUACCUAAAUUUGUUAAACUUAUAAAAUUGAUCUAUAAUUGAUUUUUUUUAUCUUUUUCAUUUGUUUCAAGAAAGAGAUUAACUAUCAUUUGUAUUUUUCUAAUGACUUUAACAUAUAUAUUUUCACAUUAAUUGAUGUGAUUGUAAGAAUUUUAAAAAUAAUUGUACUUUUAGCAUAAUAUUUCCAUUAGAAUAGUUUAGUUGGUUUAAGUUUUACUUCGUAGUUUUGGUUUUGGUAUCUUAUAAGAAAUUGUAAAACAUUAUUUUUUAAAAAAACCAACACAUUUAAGUUUCGCCAGUUAUUUAUUUUAAGCUAAAGUUUAAUUCGAUGGCUAGAUAAUUCAAAAUAAGUCUCAUGUGCAAAUAAAGAAACACAAACAAUGUACAAAGAACCUCAGAGAAUGAUGUGAGAAUAUUUAUGAGAAAACUUCCAAUAUUUUUUUUUGUUUUUUACAUGUGUUCCAGGAAGUCUUCCAAAUCGUGUCUAUUAUUCUCACCUAAAAUUUUAAGAAAUUUUUUUCUUUUCGCUUAAAUAUUAUUUUGUUAAAAAAAAUUAAAAUAAUAAAUUUAAAAUUUUACAUAAUAAUAAUUACUUUUUAAAAACUAAAACUGAAAAUCUAAAAAAUAAAUCAUGAAUCCUAGUUCUUUUGAAAAAAAAAAAAAGAAACACUAGUUCUUUCAACUUAUUCCCUCUCAGCCGUCACACAAACUCAUCUCAGAUAUCUUGCCACGCCAGAUCUCUCUCUCCCGUGCCUCUCUCUCUAACACCAGAGCUCUCUAUCUCUAGCCGGACCUCUCUCACGCUCCCUCCUCUCUCUUGCUCGCCUUCAGGUCUCUUCUCUAGCCGGAUUCUCUCUCUCUUGUGGCUCUCUCUCGCCGGACCUCCCGCACAGUUAUCUCUCUCUCUAUGUCUGUGUGUGUGUGUCAGUUUUGAAUCAGAUUUGUUUUUGAUGUUGGUGGAGGAGGAUGGAGAAGAAGCUUGACGGAGGAGGCUCCUCGCCGUGACUUUUCUUUCCGUCCCAAAAACCUCAAUUGAAGCAUCUCGUGGCUAUUGUUCAGGAGAUAAACUAUAGACUUUCAAAGGUUGAAACUUUGAUAGAGAGGAUGGAGAAGAAGCUUGACGGAAGAGGAUGGAGAAGAAGCGGCCGGCUGUGGAGGCUUCCGCGGGAAGGACGGCGGCGAGCAGACAGCGGUAAUCUUUCCUCAGCCUCGUCCGCUGUUCAUAUUCGAGGUAGUGUUUUUUUUGGGUUUUGUUUCUUUUGUUUCGGUGAGUUUUCAUUUGUUUAUGCUGAGAUUUGUAUUAAUUUCCAUAGUUUUGUGAUUUUUUUUGUUUUUGUUUUGAUGAAUCUUCAUUUGGGGUUUUAAAUGUUUAUGCAAAAAGAAACUUUUAUGAUUUGAGAGAUUCGGGGUUUGAUCUCUUUAUGUUGUGAUUGUGACAUCUCAGACUAAGUAAAAGAUGGUGUGGUGGACC
Long non-coding RNA from Brassica napus (rape), 2671 nucleotides. RefSeq lists it as uncharacterized. The transcript is spliced from 2 exons. NCBI's taxonomy places the organism in Eukaryota, Viridiplantae, Streptophyta, Magnoliopsida, Brassicales, Brassicaceae. The record is from RefSeq and is a predicted model, not a curated record.